This 392-nucleotide ribosomal RNA is filed under the name uncultured bacterium. RNAcentral's name for it is "bacterial SSU rRNA". It matches the Rfam family "Bacterial small subunit ribosomal RNA", at positions 30 to 420 of the family's 1533-position model. The record is from RNAcentral.
AUUGAACGCUGGCGGCAGGCUUAACACAUGCAAGUCGAACGAUGAUUACCAGCUUGCUGGUAUGAUUAGUGGCGAACGGGUGAGUAAAUGCUUAGGAAUCUGCCUAUUAGUGGGGGACAACAUUCCGAAAGGAAUGCUAAUACCGCAUACGUCCUACGGGAGAAAGCAGGGGAUCGCAAGACCUUGCGCUAAUAGAUGAGCCUAAGUCGGAUUAGCUAGUUGGUGAGGUAAAGGCUCACCAAGGCGACGAUCUGUAGCUGGUCUGAGAGGAUGAUCAGCCACACUGGAACUGAGACACGGUCCAGACUCCUACGGGAGGCAGCAGUGGGGAAUAUUGGACAAUGGGCGGCAAGCCUGAUCCAGCAAUGCCGCGUGUGUGAAGAAGGCCUCGG